AACCCUGACGCAGCAACGCCGCGUGGGUGAUGAAGGUCUUCGGAUUGUAAAGCCCUGUUUUCUAGGACGAUAAUGACGGUACUAGAGGAGGAAGCCACGGCUAACUACGUGCCAGCAGCCGCGGUAAUACGUAGGUGGCGAGCGUUGUCCGGAUUUACUGGGCGUAAAGGGUGCGUAGGCGGAUGUUUAAGUGGGAUGUGAAAUCCCCGGGCUUAACCUGGGGGCUGCAUUCCAAACUGGAUAUCUAGAGUGCAGGAGAGGAAAGCGGAAUUCCUAGUGUAGCGGUGAAAUGCGUAGAGAUUAGGAAGAACACCAGUGGCGAAGGCGGCUUUCUGGACUGUAACUGACGCUGAGGCACGAAAGCGUGGGUAGCAAACAGGAUUAGAUACCCUGGUAGUCCACGCCGUAAACGAUGGAUACUAGGUGUAGGGGGUAUCAACUCCCCCUGUGCCGCAGUUAACACAAUAAGUAUCCCGCCUGGGGAGUACGGUCGCAAGAUUAAAACUCAAAGGAAUUGACGGGGGCCCGCACAAGCAGCGGAGCAUGUGGUUUAAUUCGAAGCAACGCGAAGAACCUUACCUGGACUUGACAUCCCUUGCAUAGCCUAGAGAUAGGUGAAGCCCUUCGGGGCAAGGAGACAGGUGGUGCAUGGUUGUCGUCAGCUCGU
This 667-nucleotide ribosomal RNA is filed under the name Clostridium botulinum. Its description in RNAcentral is "bacterial SSU rRNA". It matches the Rfam family "Bacterial small subunit ribosomal RNA", at positions 379 to 1063 of the family's 1533-position model. The record is from RNAcentral. Lineage: Bacteria; Bacillati; Bacillota; Clostridia; Eubacteriales; Clostridiaceae.